RNAcentral lists this long non-coding RNA (665 nucleotides) under Setaria italica (foxtail millet). RNAcentral's name for it is "long non-coding RNA (SITA_LNC000146)". Lineage: Eukaryota; Viridiplantae; Streptophyta; Magnoliopsida; Poales; Poaceae. The record is from RNAcentral.
UCCUGGUGGCCGCCGCCGCGGCGUCCUCCCUCCUCGCGUCGUCCUCCGCCGUCCUCGUCCACGCCGCGCAUGACCCGGGUGUGUCCUGCGACCAGCUCCCGGUCGCCGAGGCCACCACCGGCUUCCAGCCGCUCACCGUCGAUGCCGACGGCGGCCUCAGCGUCCCUCCCCACCUGAUCCACCCCGCCAUCCUCGCCGACGCCACCGACAACCCCGCCGUCCAGCGCACGGUACGACGUCACGGUGGUCUUCCGCGCCACCGCCCGCCUCGGCCCGCCCCGCCUCCAGUACUAAGUCGUCCCGGCCGACGCCAGCGUCCCGAUCUCCGGCGGCGCUGACGACACCAAAGCCCGUGCUGACGUGGGCCUGAUCAUGUUCUUCCUGGGUCUUCUCUUGGGCGCCUUCCUCGGCGCCAUGAGCGUCCUCAUCCACAAAAGCAACCUCCUCGGCGACGACGACAACGAGUCCUCCGGCGACGGCGCCAUCCCGAAGAAUCCCAAGAUCGUCCUCGCUCAGGCUGCGGGCGCCGCCAAGGCCCGCGGCGGCUACUGAGGCGCCGGCCGAUCACGGCGUACGGCGCUUCGUUCUGUUGAUCAUUGCGACUGUGCUGCGUUUUCGCUGCUAGCUACCCCGUUGUAGUUAAGCUCGGUCGUGCUCGUGCCCUG